Molecule: unclassified non-coding RNA, 253 nt
Filed under: uncultured Chlamydiales bacterium
Lineage: Bacteria; Pseudomonadati; Chlamydiota; Chlamydiia; Chlamydiales
Description: contains 16S-23S intergenic spacer region
Rfam family: Bacterial small subunit ribosomal RNA
Source: RNAcentral
UACGGAGGGUACAAGCAUUAAUCGGAUUUAUUGGGCGUAAAGGGCGCGUAGGUGGCUUAUCAAGUCAGAUGUGAAAUUCCGUGGCUCAACUGCGGAGCUGCAUUUGAAACUGGUAAGCUAGAGGAUAGGCGGAGAAAACGGAAUUCCGCAUGUAGCGGUGAAAUGCGUAGAUAUGCGGAAGAACACCGGUGGCGAAAGCGGUUUUCUAGCUUAUACCUGACACUGAUGCGCGAAAGCGUGGGGAGCAAACAGG